UUGGAGGUGACAAGCGGUGGCUGAGGGGGGACGUUUCCUGCCACACUGGACCCCAAGGUGUUUGGAAAGGGCCAAGGGAUGUCCAGGACAUCCCUGUUGGACCGCACAUGGAGCUCGCUCGCUCGCUCUCUCCCACUCUGGAACCUCCUUCUUAAUCACUCUUGGUUGAGGUGGGAGCUAGAAUUCCCCGAGAAUGGGGAAGUGAGAGGUGGGAAGGAGUUGCCUCCAACUUCAAGGCAGACCCUUCUCGGGCGGACUUCCCUAAAGGAGUUCACCACACCCAAGAAUCAGCCACAUUCACCUUCACACACACACACACACACACACACACACACGGAGUCCAACAAGGAGCAUCCCUAGCCCUGUUCACAUGCAAGAGCAAGCUCCUCACAGGAAGACUGCCCCCAAGAUCUUCUGCCUGCAGAAGCUAGACGACAUUCUUACCCAUCGGAUGGGAGAAACUCAAAUUCAGAAUUUCUAGCACCCUUUUCUAUUCUGUGGACUCCUCACAAAGACCAGAGACUCGAAGUCACCAUUCGCUGUCUAGGGCUAGCCGUUUGACGAAGACAACACUCCCUGGACCAAAAAAGGCUUUCUUGAGAUUGGGGUGAAGAGAUGAUGGUUCCUAAUGAGCAAGAGAGUGGGCAGAGGGGUGGUCCAAGACUCAAGAUUUUUGGUUUGAGCGCACUGUGCUGAGGUGUAAGAUGCACAACCUGAACUGGUGCGUGUCUGGAAUCCCUGCAUUCAAGAGGCUGAGUCGGAAGGACCAGGAGUUGGAGGGCACUCGGUGUUUACCAAGACUGUCAGCACCUGAGGUACUCAGUCCAUCCUGGAGGUCCACCCAGAACACUCAUCGACCUCAGUCUUUAAGUAUCCAUGAUUCAGGAGGAAAAGAUCUGUGUAAUGCAAGGGGGUCUUUGUGGCCACUGUUCAUGGCAGAAUAGGGGACAGAAUAAAUUCCUCAACAUCUGGAGUGCAGUGGAAAGGUUAGUAUUGUAUUGGGUAAGUCUACACGCUUGGGUCAAGUCAGAGGAGAAAGGGGAAGGAGUCUCAUUUUCUCAUCCCACACGGGCACAUACCAGGACCUAGGCAAUCAGCUGGAUACAGGGCGGGUGUGGGUUUAGUGGAUGAGUCUGCUCUCCUCCUCACUCUCUUCCUUUUUACAGCCCAGCCAUAAAACAAUCUGGGGGAGGAGAGUCAAACGACCUGUGCCAUGAUGUCUCCGCGGGGCUUUUAUGAUUAUAACCACUUACAGGAAUUGUCUAGGAACGUCAGCUACCCAGAAUUUGGGGAUCUGGGACUUCGGUACCAGAAAGUUGUGUAAGAUAAAUAUGUGCAAAUCUUACUCCUUGAUGGCCAGGGGUUCAAAAAAAUUUUUUUCAUUUAAAGGAAAUAAAUCAGAUAACAGAGAUAUAUGUCCACUUUAGAAUUAGAGAAAACCCUUGACUGAUACUGUAACCAAUGAAACGGGGUCAGGUUCUUGGUCUCAACAAUAAAACCCAUACUAACUAGCUGAGACCGAAGGGGUUUAUUAAGUAGCUCAUGUAAGCAUGGAAGCUGGAGAAACAGGCUCCAGGCUGAGCUCUGGUUACAACCCGCAGACCCACACUGUGGAACUGGCCUGGUGAGAAGAGCUGCCACCUCCCACUGCAGAAAUGUCUACCCAGAUUGCUCCGCUCCCACACGGUUGCCAGCCCCCUCUCUGGGCUAACUCCCAGCUGCUAUCCCUGCCUUGGUCUCAAGUCAGCGUCUCUAGUUGAGUGCUGUCGUUGGAGUUUCUCUGUGUCCCAGCAGUUGCUCCCAAAUAACCACUCAGAGACUUAAUAUUAAUUAUAAAUGCUCAGCCAAUAGCUUAGACUUGUUUUUAACUAGCUCAUAUAACUUAAAUUAACCCAUUUCUUAUCUACCCUGUGCCACAUGGCGGUACCUUCUUUCUACGUGGCACGUUCAUCUGGUUUCUCUCUCUGCUCAUGACUCCUCAGACUCUGCCCUUCUUCUUCCCAGCAUUCUCUCUGCCCCAAAGUCCUGCCUAGCUAUUGACCAAUCAGCUUUUAUUAACCAAUGAGAGUAAUACAUAGUAACAGUGUACAAAAAGAUUAUUCCACAGCACAGUGCUUCUUUCCGCCUGAUCAGUUGGGUUUCUCAGAAAUUGCUAGUUCCCAUCCACAGGGGAGGCUCUGUGCCCCACAGUCAAGCAAUACGUCCGUGGGCCACACAAAGCCAACUUGAAAUGGGUGACAACAUGAAAGGUUUUGUCCCGAAGCUGGAGACAAACUCAAAAGGCAAACUGGUAUAGCAUUCACGAUCUCACCCUCACAGGAUCCCCCGAGUCUCUCUCCUGCCCAGGUUCUCACCAAACCACCCCUGCGGGAAGCAGUUCAAUGUACUAGGUAGUGCGCUAAGUGCCGAGGACACAAAGAAGAAACAGGGAAGGCUGAGAAAGUUCUGUCUCACCAAAGUAGGUGAAACGAACAUAUUACUGAAGUCAAAUAUUGAUCUGGGGCCACAGAGAAAACACAAGUGAGAAACUGGAGAGACGCUCGGUGGUGAAGAGCAGUUAUUGCUUUUGCAUAGGACCUAUGUUUGGUUCCUAGCACCCAUGUCUGGUGGCUCACGACUUCCUGUAACUCCAACUCUAGGGGAUCCAUCCACUGCCCUCUUCUGCCCUCUGUGGACAACUUCACUCACAUGUACAUACCCAUACACAGAUAUACACACAUACACAUAAAUAAAAAUAAAUCUAAAAAAGAAAAGCAAAUGAAAACACAAUUUAGAUUAUGGUCUGAUAAGGUGAGCUAGACAUUUAUGAUAGAAGAACCCAUGAUCGUGUUGGAAGUCAAGUCGUAGUCACAGGAGAGGGUCGUGGGAGCCCAUGGGGGCCUUGGGAAGACAGUUCUGAGACACACAUUGCUCAGUGUGGUGAACUCUGGCCACAUGGAGUCU
This is a long non-coding RNA of Peromyscus eremicus (cactus mouse), 2943 nucleotides long. RefSeq lists it as uncharacterized. The record is from RefSeq and is a predicted model, not a curated record. NCBI's taxonomy places the organism in Eukaryota, Metazoa, Chordata, Mammalia, Rodentia, Cricetidae. The transcript is spliced from 3 exons.